CCCUAAAGACUGGGAUACCACUUGGAAACAGGUGCUAAUACCGGAUAACAACAUGAAUCGCAUGAUUCAAGUUUGAAAGGCGGCGUAAGCUGUCACUUUAGGAUGAGCCCGCGGCGCAUUAGCUAGUUGGUGGGGUAAAGGCCUACCAAGGCAAUGAUGCGUAGCCGAGUUGAGAGACUGAUCGGCCACAUUGGGACUGAGACACGGCCCAAACUCCUACGGGAGGCAGCAGUAGGGAAUCUUCCACAAUGGACGCAAGUCUGAUGGAGCAACGCCGCGUGAGUGAAGAAGGUUUUCGGAUCGUAAAGCUCUGUUGUUGGUGAAGAAGGAUAGAGGCAGUAACUGGUCUUUAUUUGACGGUAAUCAACCAGAAAGUCACGGCUAACUACGUGCCAGCAGCCGCGGUAAUACGUAGGUGGCAAGCGUUGUCCGGAUUUAUUGGGCGUAAAGCGAGCGCAGGCGGAAUGAUAAGUCUGAUGUGAAAGCCCACGGCUCAACCGUGGAACUGCAUCGGAAACUGUCAUUCUUGAGUGCAGAAGAGGAGAGUGGAAUUCCAUGUGUAGCGGUGGAAUGCGUAGAUAUAUGGAAGAACACCAGUGGCGAAGGCGGCUCUCUGGUCU
RNAcentral lists this ribosomal RNA (620 nucleotides) under Lactobacillus delbrueckii subsp. bulgaricus. RNAcentral describes it as "bacterial SSU rRNA". It matches the Rfam family "Bacterial small subunit ribosomal RNA", at positions 129 to 735 of the family's 1533-position model. The record is from RNAcentral. Lineage: Bacteria; Bacillati; Bacillota; Bacilli; Lactobacillales; Lactobacillaceae.